GGAGAGCUUGCUCUCUGGAUCAGUGGCGAACGGGUGAGUAACACGUGAGCAAUCUGCCCCUGACUCUGGGAUAAGCGCUGGAAACGGCGUCUAAUACCGGAUACGAGCUGCGAAGGCAUCUUCAGCAGCUGGAAAGAAUUUCGGUCAGGGAUGAGCUCGCGGCCUAUCAGCUAGUUGGUGAGGUAAUGGCUCACCAAGGCGUCGACGGGUAGCCGGCCUGAGAGGGUGACCGGCCACACUGGGACUGAGACACGGCCCAGACUCCUACGGGAGGCAGCAGUGGGGAAUAUUGCACAAUGGGCGCAAGCCUGAUGCAGCAACGCCGCGUGAGGGACGACGGCCUUCGGGUUGUAAACCUCUUUUAGCAAGGAAGAAGCGAAAGUGACGGUACUUGCAGAAAAAGCGCCGGCUAACUACGUGCCAGCAGCCGCGGUAAUACGUAGGGCGCAAGCGUUAUCCGGAAUUAUUGGGCGUAAAGAGCUCGUAGGCGGUUUGUCGCGUCUGCUGUGAAAACCCGAGGCUCAACCUCGGGCCUGCAGUGGGUACGGGCAGACUAGAGUGCGGUAGGGGAGAUUGGAAUUCCUGGUGUAGCGGUGGAAUGCGCAGAUAUCAGGAGGAACACCGAUGGCGAAGGCAGAUCUCUGGGCCGUAACUGACGCUGAGGAGCGAAAGGGUGGGGAGCAAACAGGCUUAGAUACCCUGGUAGUCCACCCCGUAAACGUUGGGAACUAGUUGUGGGGUCCAUUCCACGGAUUCCGUGACGCAGCUAACGCAUUAAGUUCCCCGCCUGGGGAGUACGGC
RNAcentral lists this ribosomal RNA (801 nucleotides) under Microbacterium saccharophilum. Its description in RNAcentral is "bacterial SSU rRNA". It matches the Rfam family "Bacterial small subunit ribosomal RNA", at positions 73 to 886 of the family's 1533-position model. The record is from RNAcentral. Lineage: Bacteria; Bacillati; Actinomycetota; Actinomycetes; Micrococcales; Microbacteriaceae.